This 497-nucleotide ribosomal RNA is filed under the name uncultured bacterium. Its description in RNAcentral is "partial 16S ribosomal RNA". It matches the Rfam family "Bacterial small subunit ribosomal RNA", at positions 899 to 1397 of the family's 1533-position model. The record is from RNAcentral.
ACUCAAAUGAAUAGACGGGGACCCGCACAAGCGGCGGAGCAUGUGGCUUAAUUCGAUGCAACGCGAAGAACCUUACCUGGGCUUGACAUGCUAGUUAAAGCGGAUGAAAGUCCGUGUCCUUCGGGGGCUAGCACAGGUGCUGCAUGGCUGUCGUCAGCUCGUGCCGUGAGGUGUUGGCUUAAGUGCCGCAACGAGCGCAACCCCUACCCUUAGUUGCCAGCGGGUAAUGCCGGGGACUCUAAGGGGACUGCCGGGGACAACUCGGAGGAAGGUGGGGACGAGGUCAAGUCCGCAUGGCCCUUAUGCCCAGGGCUGCACACAUGCUACAUUGCGCGCUACAAAGGGCUGCGAUCCCGCAAGGAGGAGCGAAUCCCAAAAAGGCGCGCCAGGUUCGGAUCGGGGUCUGCAACUCGACCCCGUGAAGGCGGAGUCGCUAGUAAUCGCGGAUCAGCAACGUCGCGGUGAAUACGUUCCCGGGUCUUGUACACACCGCCCGU